Molecule: long non-coding RNA, 580 nt
Organism: Brassica napus (rape)
Lineage: Eukaryota; Viridiplantae; Streptophyta; Magnoliopsida; Brassicales; Brassicaceae
Exons: 4
Source: RefSeq, a predicted model, not a curated record
CAACGUUUAUGUCUUAAAAAAACAAAAAAAAUUUAUCUAAAAUGGCGCUUUUGUUAAUCUCGAUUCUCUUCAGCGAACCUCUUCCCUGAUGGCUUGGUAUGGAUCCAAAAAAUCAAAGCCGAUCUGAAACAAUCAAAGGUAUAUCCUUGUGAAAUCGUCCGAUUUGAUGGCUUACCUGCAUAAAGAUGGAGAUCUACCAUAAAAGCACUUCAACAGAUCCGUAAAGGUGUGUAGCACUUUGACUUGGAUCAACCAUGUCCAUUUCCAUGGCCUAACCUCAUCAAGCGAAAUAAUAUGGAUUGGUGACGUUACGAUCAGCUAAAAUGAUUUGGUUGAACGACAAAAGAGAAAUGAGGCAUGUUUGUUGGAAGAAAAAGGAUAUCGUGGAAAUAUAUAAUUUAAUUAAAAGCAUAUGUUUAAAUAUAGCCAGUGGCAUAAGGUUGUAAAUACUUUUGAACUUAAAGGGCACCUCAAAAAAGACCCUUCAGUUUUAAUAGUAUUGAUAGUACAUAAAAUAAAUUGUUUGAAAAUAUUUAUUAUGUACCUUAAUUAUUUUAACUGAUUUUAUUAGAUGUAAAUA